This 494-nucleotide ribosomal RNA is filed under the name uncultured bacterium. Its description in RNAcentral is "partial 16S ribosomal RNA". It matches the Rfam family "Bacterial small subunit ribosomal RNA", at positions 355 to 840 of the family's 1533-position model. The record is from RNAcentral.
UAGGGAAUCUUCCACAAUGGACGCAAGUCUGAUGGAGCAACGCCGCGUGAGUGAAGAAGGUCUUCGGAUCGUAAAGCUCUGUUGUUGGUGAAGAAGGAUAGAGGCAGUAACUGGUCUUUAUUUGACGGUAAUCAACCAGAAAGUCACGGCUAACUACGUGCCAGCAGCCGCGGUAAUACGUAGGUGGCAAGCGUUGUCCGGAUUUAUUGGGCGUAAAGCGAGCGCAGGCGGAAUGAUAAGUCUGAUGUGAAAGCCCACGGCUCAACCGUGGAACUGCAUCGGAAACUGUCAUUCUUGAGUGCAGAAGAGGAGAGUGGAACUCCAUGUGUAGCGGUGGAAUGCGUAGAUAUAUGGAGGAACACCAGUGGCGAAGGCGGCUCUCUGGUCUGCAACUGACGCUGAGGCUCGAAAGCAUGGGUAGCGAACAGGAUUAGAUACCCUGGUAGUCCAUGCCGUAAACGAUGAGCGCUAGGUGUUGGGGACUUUCCGGUCCU